RNAcentral lists this long non-coding RNA (534 nucleotides) under Salvia miltiorrhiza (redroot sage). RNAcentral's name for it is "long non-coding RNA (SMIL_LNC003217)". Lineage: Eukaryota; Viridiplantae; Streptophyta; Magnoliopsida; Lamiales; Lamiaceae. The record is from RNAcentral.
UGAUAUGCAUAUCAAAUAUUUUAUAAUUAGUCGAAUUUCACAAUUUCAAAAAAGAAAUAAAAUUGAAAAAUAAGAAGUUAAAGAAAAAGAAAAAACAGAUGUAUGGAUAAUAAAUAAACAUUCAAUUUUAUUAUAACUACAAAAUUGCCACUCAAUUUUGAAAUUGAUUUGAAAUCAAUUUGAAAUUGAAAACUCCUUUUUUAAUAUAGUAUAGAUUUGAUCUAUAUAAGGGGGAGGGGACGUGAGGAAAUCUCUGAAAUUAGGGGUAUUGUUGCUCAACGUCCAUAAGAUGUCUGAAAGAAUUCCAUAAUACGUACGGGCUACUGCUGUAAAAAAAAAUCACGAAUAUUUUUUUUUGAAUUAAAAUUACAAGAGACAUCUAUAUAUACUCAAAUAAGUAAUUCGUAUGUAGGUGGAACUACUACUCACCAAAAAAAAAAUACACACGCAGGCGUGGGAACACUAUCAACACAAAAAAUGGAAAAAAUACCACACAAAGUGAAAACACUAGCCACACAAAAGUUAAAAAACUAC